UCGACCCCGGAAGUGACUUCUGGAAGUGACCCAGGAAGUGACAUUUUAGCUUUGCGUUUAAUUGGUUCGACUCCCUUCUCCACAAUUUGGGCGAGAAUUUCUUUUGCCUUCUGAGCAAAAAUUGUUCUGCGGACCCGUCUGGUUCAACUUUCAUGAGGGGCAUUGAGACAAACAAAUGAAAUAUGGGUCAAAAUGCUCUUGAGUAGCUACAAAAAGAAGACCAGCCUAUCCUGCUGGAGAGAGUGGCCACGUGAAGAAAGAGCCCUUGGAGUGUGAAAGACCACAGGGAAAGAAAGGCCACAUGGAACCAACAGUCAGCACCUUGGCUUUGGACAUGUGAAGAAAUUCAUCUCAGACUGUGUAUCCUGAAUCAGGCACUUGCUGAAUGCAACUACAUGAGUGAGACCAGUUGACAACACACGGAGCAGAGCCACACAGCUGAACUACCGGACAUGUGAAUGAAGCUAGUUUGGAAGUUCCAGCCCUGGCUAAACACCCAGCUGAAUGCAGCCACCUGAGUGACCCCAGCC
Rhinopithecus roxellana (golden snub-nosed monkey) is the source of this 530-nucleotide long non-coding RNA. RefSeq lists it as uncharacterized. NCBI's taxonomy places the organism in Eukaryota, Metazoa, Chordata, Mammalia, Primates, Cercopithecidae. The transcript is spliced from 4 exons. The record is from RefSeq and is a predicted model, not a curated record.